RNAcentral lists this ribosomal RNA (253 nucleotides) under uncultured bacterium. RNAcentral's name for it is "partial 16S ribosomal RNA". It matches the Rfam family "Bacterial small subunit ribosomal RNA", at positions 524 to 776 of the family's 1533-position model. The record is from RNAcentral.
UACGUAGGCAGCGAGCGUUGUUCGGAAUUACUGGGCGUAAAGCGCACGUAGGCGGAUCAGCAAGUCAGGGGUGAAAUCCCGGGGCUCAACCCCGGAACUGCCUUUGAUACUGUUGGUCUGGAGGUCGAGAGAGGCGAGUGGAAUUCCGAGUGUAGAGGUGAAAUUCGUAGAUAUUCGGAGGAACACCAGUGGCGAAGGCGGCUCGCUGGCUCGAUACUGACGCUGAGGUGCGAAAGCGUGGGGAGCAAACAGG